UACGUAGGGUGCGAGCGUUAAUCGGAAUUACUGGGCGUAAAGGGCGCGCAGGCGGCCACGCGCGUCCGUUGUGAAAUCGCUCGGCUCAACUGGGCGAGGUCAGCGGAUACGGCGUGGCUGGAGCAAGCUAGGGGGCAAUGGAAUUCCCGGUGUGGUGGUGGAAUGCGUAGAUAUCGGGAGGAACACCAGUGGCGAAGGCGGUUGCCUGGAGCUUUGCUGACGCUGAGGCGCGAAAGCGUGGGGAGCGAUCCGG
Molecule: ribosomal RNA, 253 nt
Filed under: uncultured bacterium
Lineage: Bacteria
Description: partial 16S ribosomal RNA
Rfam family: Bacterial small subunit ribosomal RNA
Source: RNAcentral